UUCGCAUUAAUCUGCUUCCACUUCUUGUAUGUACUACUAGUCUUCGGUCCGUCCUUCGAAGGACUUCUGUUACUUCCGUUAACAACAUCUCACAAAUCCUCGCCACAAGAUAUGAUUCCAUGCAUGUGUUUUAUACCUUGUAAUUGGACUGAUUUAACUACUCCAUUCUCAGUCCAUUAAUGCGACUGCUAAAAUCCAUUCACACAAACCAGUUGAAUCAACCACAAACCCGAUCUUGAAAUAAACACAAGUCAAUCUAAGACUUUGGCUCUGAUACCAUGUAGAGAAUAGCAGAAGAAAGGUGUAACUGGAGAGACCUUCUGCUAACCCAAGAUCGUUAGCUAAGAUCGAAAGAUUCAACUAAAGAAGAGGGAGCUAUGAAGAAGAGGCUUUGUUAUGGAAGAAGACUUCUUGAAUUUGA
RNAcentral lists this long non-coding RNA (421 nucleotides) under Capsicum annuum. Its description in RNAcentral is "long non-coding RNA (CANN_LNC015419)". The record is from RNAcentral. Lineage: Eukaryota; Viridiplantae; Streptophyta; Magnoliopsida; Solanales; Solanaceae.